GAUGAAGAACGCAGCGAAAUGCGAUACUUGGUGUGAAUUGCAGAAUCCCGUGAACCAUCGAGUCUUUGAACGCAAGUUGCGCCUCAAGCCAUUAGGUUGAGGGCACGUCUGCCUGGGCGUCACAUAUCGUUGCCUGAUGCCAGUUUCCUCGUGAUGGGUGACUGUGCAGGGCGAAUGAUGGCUUCCCGUGAGCAUUGUUGCCUCAUGGUUGGUUGAAAAUUGAGUCCUUGGUAGGGAGCGCCGUGAUAGAUGGUGGUUAAGUGACGAACGAGACCCAAUCAUGUGAGACCCCUACCGAAUUUGGCCUUCAUGACCCACAUGCGUCUUUGGAACGCUCAUGACGAGACCUCAGGUCAGGCGGGGCUACCCGCUGAGUUUAAGCAUAUCAAUAAGCGGAGGA
RNAcentral lists this unclassified non-coding RNA (400 nucleotides) under soil metagenome. Its description in RNAcentral is "partial contains 5.8S ribosomal RNA, internal transcribed spacer 2, and large subunit ribosomal RNA". The stretch from base 1 to 122 matches the Rfam family "5.8S ribosomal RNA", at positions 35 to 154 of the family's 154-position model. The record is from RNAcentral.